AAAGUUCCCUUCGGGGAGCGAGUAGAGUGGCGCACGGGUGAGUAACACGUAGGUAAUCUACCUUUGGAUGGGGAAUAACAACCGGAAACGGUUGCUAAUACCGCAUAAUGCAGCGGCACCUAAUGGUGACAGUUGUUAAAGCGGGGGAUCGCAAGACCUCGCGUCUGAAGAGGAGCCUGCGGCAGAUUAGCUAGUUGGUAAGGUAACGGCUUACCAAGGCGAUGAUCUGUAGCCGGCCUGAGAGGGCGGUCGGCCACACUGACACUGACAUACGGGUCAGACUCCUACGGGAGGCAGCAGUCGGGAAUUUUGGGCAAUGGGCGAAAGCCUGACCCAGCAACGCCGCGUGAAGGAUGAAAUCCUUCGGGAUGUAAACUUCGCAAGAACGGGAAGAAUAAGUAAGGGUUAAUAUCCCUUACGAUGACGGUACUGUUUGUAAGCUCCGGCUAACUCCGUGCCAGCAGCCGCGGUAAUACGGGGGGAGCAAGCGUUGUUCGGAUUUACUGGGCGUAAAGGGCGCGUAGGCGGCCUCUGCAAGUCGACUGUGAAAUCUCCGGGCUUAACCCGGAACGGUCAGCCGAUACUGCAGGGCUAGAGUGCAGAAGGGGCAACUGGAAUUCUCGGUGUAGCGGUGAAAUGCGUAGAUAUCGAGAGGAACACCUGCGGCGAAGGCGGGUUGCUGGGCUGACACUGACGCUGAGGCGCGAAAGCUAGGGGAGCGAACGGGAUUAGAUACCCCGGUAGUCCUAGCCUUAAACGAUGAAUGCUUGGUGUCUGGGGUUUUAUAGUCCCCGGGUGCCGUCGCUAACGC
Molecule: ribosomal RNA, 811 nt
Filed under: uncultured Actinomycetes bacterium
Lineage: Bacteria; Bacillati; Actinomycetota; Actinomycetes
Description: bacterial SSU rRNA
Rfam family: Bacterial small subunit ribosomal RNA
Source: RNAcentral